UAGCUUUGUCCUAAGCCAUACAUUUCUAAGUUCGCCUAGGCUUACAGAAAAAUAGAUUAACAUCUAUGAUACUAGAUAAAUGCCCUGCCAAAACAUAUUUGACAGUGGAUUUAACAAAACUAAUUUGAUGUUGUAGAUGUUGAUGCAUUUUUCUAUAAAUUUGGUAAAAGUUAGAAAAGUAUGACUUGUGACAUCGAAAA
RNAcentral lists this microRNA precursor (200 nucleotides) under Setaria italica (foxtail millet). RNAcentral describes it as "MIR1435 microRNA precursor family". It matches the Rfam family "MIR1435 microRNA precursor family". Lineage: Eukaryota; Viridiplantae; Streptophyta; Magnoliopsida; Poales; Poaceae. The record is from Rfam by way of RNAcentral.